UGCCCUCAAGACGAGGAUAACCGUUGGAAACGAUGGCUAAGACUGGAUAGGAAUACGGGAGGCAUCUUCUGUAUUUUAAAAGACCUGGCAACAGGUAUGCUUGAGGAGGGGCCUGCGGCGCAUUAGUUAGUUGGUGAGGUGAUGGCUCACCAAGACGAUGAUGCGUAGCCGGACUGAGAGGUUGAACGGCCACAUUGGGACUGAGAGACGGCCCAAACUCCUACGGGAGGCAGCAGUAGGGAAUUUUCGGCAAUGGGGGAAACCCUGACCGAAGCAACGCCGCGUGAACGACGAAGUACUUCGGUAUGUAAAGUUCUUUUAAGAGGGAAGAAUGGCCCGUGGAAAAGCGGGCGUGACGGUACCUUUUGAAUAAGCCCCGGCUAACUAUGUGCCAGCAGCAGC
Molecule: ribosomal RNA, 402 nt
Filed under: uncultured bacterium
Lineage: Bacteria
Description: bacterial SSU rRNA
Rfam family: Bacterial small subunit ribosomal RNA
Source: RNAcentral